GCAUCACAGAAUCCAAGACAGCUGUUGCUUUAAUGGCAGAAGACUUCAAAAGGAAGACUAGACUUAUCUAAUUUUGCUUCGGUUUAAUUGUUCCAGACAGCUAUUUUCUGUUAAUUCUGAUGCCUGUUGAUUGUUUCAAAACUCAUCACAUGAUUGCUAGCUGGAAGGACUCUUGGCUUCAAGUAACAGAACGUCCUUCAUCAGGGACAACAAGAUGGAGCUGUUUCCUCUGUUUAACCGAUAGACACAGUUAUUCACAGUGCAGUUGCACAUUAACCACUUGGAUCCCGAUGGGAAUCAGUCAUUCAGCAAGAAAGAUUGUUGAAG
RNAcentral lists this long non-coding RNA (327 nucleotides) under Coturnix japonica (Japanese quail). Its description in RNAcentral is "lncRNA (ENSCJPG00005008576.1)". Lineage: Eukaryota; Metazoa; Chordata; Aves; Galliformes; Phasianidae. The record is from RNAcentral.